GGACUACUGGGGUAUCUAAUCCUGUUUGCUCCCCUAGCUUUCGUGCCUCAGUGUCAGGAGUCGUCCAGGGACUCGCCUUCGCCACUGGUGUUCCUCUCGAUAUCUACGCAUUUCACUGCUACACCGAGAAUUCCAGUCCCCCUUCCGAUCCUCCAGCCGGAGAGUAUCCAAUGCAGUUUCGGAGUUGAGCUCCGAGAUUUCACAUCAGACUUACCCGGCCACCUACGCACCCUUUACGCCCAGUGAAUCCGAACAACGCUUGGGACCUCUGUAUUACCGCGGCUGCUGGCAC
This 292-nucleotide ribosomal RNA is filed under the name uncultured bacterium. Its description in RNAcentral is "partial 16S ribosomal RNA". The record is from RNAcentral. RNAcentral also lists the same sequence under 1 other name.